This 367-nucleotide ribosomal RNA is filed under the name uncultured bacterium. RNAcentral's name for it is "bacterial SSU rRNA". It matches the Rfam family "Bacterial small subunit ribosomal RNA", at positions 142 to 507 of the family's 1533-position model. The record is from RNAcentral.
CACAACUCGUCGAAAGACGGGCUAAUAUCAGAUAAUGCAGCGGCUCCGCAUGGAGACAGUUGUUAAAGUACAAGCGCCUGAAGAUGAGCCUGCGGUCCAUUAGCUAGUUGGUAGAGUAACAGCCUACCAAGGCAACGAUGGAUAGCUGGUCUGAGAGGAUGAUCAGCCACACUGGAACUGAGACACGGUCCAGACUCCUACGGGAGGCAGUAGUAAGGAAUAUUGCUCAAUGGCCGAAAGGCUGAAGCAGCAACGCCGCGUGAAGGAUGAAUGGCCUUUGGCCUGUAAACUUCUGUAAAAAGGGAAAAACAAUCAGGCAUGUCCUGAUUUGAUUGUACCUUUGAAGUAAGCCCCGGCUAACUACGUG